Molecule: ribosomal RNA, 279 nt
Filed under: uncultured archaeon
Lineage: Archaea
Description: partial 16S rRNA
Rfam family: Archaeal small subunit ribosomal RNA
Source: RNAcentral
GAGACCCACGCCAACAGUUGCCAGCAUGUCCUCCGGGAUGAUGGGGACACUGUUGGGACCGCCUCUGCUAAAGAGGAGGAAGGAAUGGGCAACGGUAGGUCAGCAUGCCCCGAAUUAUCUGGGCUACACGCGGGCUACAAUGGGUGGGACAAUGGGUAUCGACACCGAAAGGUGAAGGCAAUCUCCUAAACCCAUCCUUAGUUCGGAUUGUGGGCUGCAACUCGCCCACAUGAAGCUGGAAUCCGUAGUAAUCGUGUUUCAAAAUAGCACGGUGAAUAU